GAGAGGGUAGCCUAGUGGACAUGCAUCUGCCCGGUAAGCGGAACACUGUGGGUUUGAUUCCCAUCCCUGGACCUUU
Molecule: transfer RNA, 76 nt
Filed under: Cordylochernes scorpioides
Lineage: Eukaryota; Metazoa; Arthropoda; Arachnida; Pseudoscorpiones; Chernetidae
Description: tRNA-Thr
Rfam family: tRNA (bases 4-68)
About the family: Transfer RNA (tRNA) molecules are approximately 80 nucleotides in length. Their secondary structure includes four short double-helical elements and three loops (D, anti-codon, and T loops). Further hydrogen bonds mediate the characteristic L-shaped molecular structure. tRNAs have two regions of fundamental functional importance: the anti-codon, which is responsible for specific mRNA codon recognition, and the 3' end, to which the tRNAs corresponding amino acid is attached (by aminoacyl-tRNA synthetases). tRNAs cope with the degeneracy of the genetic code in two manners: having more than one tRNA (with a specific anti-codon) for a particular amino acid; and 'wobble' base-pairing, i.e. permitting non-standard base-pairing at the 3rd anti-codon position.
Source: RNAcentral